This 712-nucleotide ribosomal RNA is filed under the name uncultured bacterium. RNAcentral describes it as "bacterial SSU rRNA". It matches the Rfam family "Bacterial small subunit ribosomal RNA", at positions 8 to 715 of the family's 1533-position model. The record is from RNAcentral.
AGAGUUUGAUCCUGGCUCAGGAUGAACGCUAGCGGCAGACUUAAUACAUGUGAGUCGAGGGGCAGCGGAUCCCUCCGGGGAUGCCGGCGACCGGCGAACGGGUGAGUAACACGUAUGGAACCUGCCCUUAACUGGGAAAUAGCUUUGAGAAAUCGAAGGUAAUGUCCCAUACCAUCUGAAGAAGGCAUCUUUUUCAGAUGAAAGCUCCGGCGGUUAAGGAUGGCCAUGCGGUCCAUUAGCUUGUUGGUGAGAUAACCGCUCACCAAGGCUGCGAUGGAUAGCUGAUCUGAGAGGAUGAUCAGCCACAUUGGCACUGAGACACGGGCCAAACUCCUACGGGAGGCAGCAGUAGGGAAUCUUGGUCAAUUGGCGAAAGCCAGAACCAGUCAUGCCGCGUGCAGGAUGAAGGCCCUACGGGUCGUAAACUGCUUUUAUUCGGGAAGAAAAAGUCUGUUUUCACAGACCUUGACGGUACCGAUUGAAUAAGGACCGGCCAACUCCGUGCCAGCAGCCGCGGUAAUACGGAGGGUCCAAGCGUUAUCCGGAUUCACUGGGUUUAAAGGGUGCGCAGGCGGCUAAGUAAGUCAGUGGUGAAAGCCUUCGGCUCAACCGGAGAAUUGCCAUUGAAACUACUUAGCUUGAGUGCAGUAGAGGUAGGCGGAAUGUAGCAUGUAGCGGUGAAAUGCAUAGAUAUGCUACAGAACACCGAUAG